RNAcentral lists this ribosomal RNA (578 nucleotides) under uncultured bacterium. RNAcentral's name for it is "partial 16S ribosomal RNA". It matches the Rfam family "Bacterial small subunit ribosomal RNA", at positions 355 to 923 of the family's 1533-position model. The record is from RNAcentral.
UGGGGAAUUUUGGACAAUGGGCGAAAGCCUGAUCCAGCAAUGCCGCGUGUGUGAAGAAGGCCUUCGGGUUGUAAAGCACUUUUGUCCGGAAAGAAAUCCUUGGCUCUAAUACAGUCGGGGGAUGACGGUACCGGAAGAAUAAGCACCGGCUAACUACGUGCCAGCAGCCGCGGUAAUACGUAGGGUGCAAGCGUUAAUCGGAAUUACUGGGCGUAAAGCGUGCGCAGGCGGUUUGCUAAGACCGAUGUGAAAUCCCCGGGCUCAACCUGGGAACUGCAUUGGUGACUGGCAGGCUAGAGGUAUGGCAGAGGGGGGUAGAAUUCCACGUGUAGCAGUGAAAUGCGUAGAGAUGUGGAGGAAUACCGAUGGCGAAGGCAGCCCCCUGGGCAAAUACUGACGCUCAUGCACGAAAAGCGUGGGGAGCAAACAGGAUUAGAUACCCUGGUAGUCCACGCCCUAAAGCGAUGUCAACUAGUUGUUGGGGAUUCAUUUCCUUAGUAACGUAGCUAACGCGUGAAGUUGACCGCCUGGGGAGUACGGUCGCAAGAUUAAAACUCAAAUGAAUUGACGGGGUCAUA